This 508-nucleotide ribosomal RNA is filed under the name uncultured bacterium. RNAcentral's name for it is "partial 16S ribosomal RNA". It matches the Rfam family "Bacterial small subunit ribosomal RNA", at positions 28 to 507 of the family's 1533-position model. The record is from RNAcentral.
GACGAACGCUGGCGGCGUGCCUAAUACAUGCAAGUCGAACGCUUCUUUCCUCCCGAGUGCUUGCACUCAAUUGGAAAGAGGAGUGGCGGACGGGUGAGUAACACGUGGGUAACCUACCCAUCAGAGGGGGAUAACACUUGGAAACAGGUGCUAAUACCGCAUAACAGUUUAUGCCGCAUGGCAUAAGAGUGAAAGGCGCUUUCGGGUGUCGCUGAUGGAUGGACCCGCGGUGCAUUAGCUAGUUGGUGAGGUAACGGCUCACCAAGGCCACGAUGCAUAGCCGACCGGAGAGGGGGAUCGGCCACCCUGGAACUGGGCCACGCCCAAGACUCCUACGGGAGGGAGCAGUAGGGAAUCUUCGGCAAUGGAGGAAAGUCUGACACAGCAACGCCGCGUGAGUGACGAAGGCUUUGGGAUCGGAAAGCUCUGUUUUGGGAGAAAAACAGGGACCUUAGUAACUGAAGGUCCCGUGACGGUAACUAACCAAAAAGCAACGGCUAACUACGUG